AAAUAAUUCUGUUUUCCUUUUGUGUGAGGGGAUGUAUGUGCUCACGCUGUAAAAAUCAGGGAAACAUUCAGGUCUAGUCUCCAAAAAAUCAGAUUUCUGAUAAAAGUCCCGGUCCACGUCUGUACACUAGAGCCUUUAACAAAUGACAUUGGUCUGAAGGAGUCGGCCACCAGAGUUUGGCUUAGGUUCGCACAGGGGGGGAAACAAAAAGCUGUAUUUUAAUUUAAUUUGAUUCAUUGUAGGCUGCAAGAAAACAGUGGAACUGAAACCAAACCCGCGGCUCUUUCCUGCAGACAGCAGCCUCACGUUCUAGUCACAGGACAUGGUGAAGACAGCCCAAAUGUAGCAGAAGAAAGAAAA
This is a long non-coding RNA of Gavialis gangeticus (Gharial), 360 nucleotides long. RefSeq lists it as uncharacterized. The transcript is spliced from 2 exons. The record is from RefSeq and is a predicted model, not a curated record. NCBI's taxonomy places the organism in Eukaryota, Metazoa, Chordata, Crocodylia, Gavialidae.